AUUAGUUGAUUUGGUUAAUUUUGGUUUGAUUUCUUAAAUUUUCGUAUUUGUUUCUUGUUUUGACAAACUCUCAAUGCUACAUGUUAAUGCAUUGUGAGUUUGAGGGGAGAUGUUAGAGAAUAUGUAAUUGGGCUUUCUGGAUGUAUUUGGGCUAAGGGUAGUUUUGUCAAUUAUGCUUUACUAUAUAUUUAUAAGAUAACUUAUUGUAUUGCAACUUGGUUUUAUCCUAAUGUAAAAACCCUAGCC
This 246-nucleotide long non-coding RNA is filed under the name Trifolium pratense (red clover). RNAcentral describes it as "long non-coding RNA (TPRA_LNC001348)". Lineage: Eukaryota; Viridiplantae; Streptophyta; Magnoliopsida; Fabales; Fabaceae. The record is from RNAcentral.